AAGUCGUAACAAGGUCUCCGUUGGUGAACCAGCGGAGGGAUCAUUACCGAGUUUACAACUCCCAAACCCCUGUGAACAUACCUUAAUGUUGCCUCGGCGGAUCAGCCCGCGCCCCGUAAAACGGGACGGCCCGCCAGAGGACCCAAACUCUAAUGUUUCUUAUUGUAACUUCUGAGUAAAACAAACAAAUAAAUCAAAACUUUCAACAACGGAUCUCUUGGUUCUGGCAUCGAUGAAGAACGCAGCAAAAUGCGAUAAGUAAUGUGAAUUGCAGAAUUCAGUGAAUCAUCGAAUCUUUGAACGCACAUUGCGCCCGCUGGUAUUCCGGCGGGCAUGCCUGUUCGAGCGUCAUUUCAACCCUCAAGCCCCCGGGUUUGGUGUUGGGGAUCGGCUCUGCCCUUCUGGGCGGUGCCGCCCCCGAAAUACAUUGGCGGUCUCGCUGCAGCCUCCAUUGCGUAGUAGCUAACACCUCGCAACUGGAACGCGGCGCGGCCAUGCCGUAAAACCCCAACUUCUGAAUGUUGACCUCGGAUCAGGUAGGAAUACCCGCUGAACUUA
RNAcentral lists this ribosomal RNA (558 nucleotides) under uncultured fungus. RNAcentral describes it as "eukaryotic LSU rRNA". The stretch from base 198 to 351 matches the Rfam family "5.8S ribosomal RNA". Lineage: Eukaryota; Fungi. The record is from RNAcentral.